GCAUCAGGUAAUGUCUUUCAGGGGCGGUCUAAGCUCCAGAUUGAACGCUGGCGGGAUGCUUUACACAUGCAAGUCGAACGGCAGCACGGACUUCGGUCUGGUGGCGAGUAGCGAACGGGUGAGUAAUGUAUCGGAACGUGCCUAGUAGCGGGGGAUAACUACGCGAAAGCGUAGCCUAAUACCACAUACGCCCUUCGGGGAAAGCGGGGGGACCUUCGGGCCUCGCACUAUUAGAGGCGGCCGAUAUCGGAUUAGCUAGUUGGUGAAAUUAACGGCUCACCAAGGCGACGAUCCGUAGCGCUGGUUUUGAGAGGACGACCAGCCACACUGGGACUGAGACACGGCCCAGACUCCUACAGGAGGGGCAGCAGUGGAAAUUUUGGACAAUGGAAACCCUGAUCCAGCCAUCCCGCGUGUGCGUAGAGAGGCCCUUCGGGUUGUAAAGCACUUUUGGCAGGGGAAAGAAGCAGCACGGGAUAAUACCCCGUGCAACUGACGGCACCUGCAGAAUAAGCACCGGCUAACUACGUGCCAGCAGCCGCGGUAAUACGUAGGGUGCAAGCGUUAAUCGGAAUUACUGGGCGUAAAGCGUGCGCAGGCGGUUCGGAAAGAAGAUGUGAAAUCCCAGAGCUUAACUUUGGAACUGCAUUUUUAACUACCGAGCUAGAGUGUGUGUCAGAGGGAAGUGGAAUUCCGCGUGUAGCAGUGAAAUGCGUAGAUAUGCGGGAGGAACACCGAUGGCGAAGGCAACCUCCUGGGAUAACACUGACGCUCAUGCACGAAAGCGUGGGGAGCAAACAGGAUUAGAUACCCUGGUGGUCCACGCCCUAAACGAUGUCAGCUAGCUGUUGGGGCCUUCGGGCCUUGGUAGCGCAGCUAACGCGUGAAGUUGACCGCCUGAAACAGUCGCAAGAUUAAAACUCAAAGGAAUUGACGGGGACCCGCACAAGCGGUGGAUGAUGUGGAUUAAUUCGAUGCAACGCGAAAAACCUUACCUACCCUUGACAUGUCUGGAAUCCCGAAGAGAUUUGGGAGUGCUCGCAAGAGAACCGGAACACAGGUGCUGCAUGGCUGUCGUCAGCUCGUGUCGUGAGAUGUUGGGUUAAGUCCCGCAACGAGCGCAACCCUUGUCAUUAGUUGCUACGAAAGGGCACUCUAAUGAGACUGCCGGUGACAAACCGGAGGAAGGUGGGGAUGACGUCAAGUCCUCAUGGCCCUUAUGGGUAGGGCUUCACACGUCAUACAAUGGUCGGGACAGAGGGUCGCCAACCCGCGAGGGGAGCCAAUCCCAAGCCCGAUCGUAGUCCGGAUCGCAGUCUGCAACUCGACUGCGUGAAGUCGGAAUCGCUAGUAAUCGCGGAUCAGCAUGUCGCGGUGAAUACGUUUCCCAGGUCUUGUACACACCGCCCGUCACACCAUGGGAGUGGGUUUUACCAGAAGUAGUUAGCCUAACCGUAAGGAGGGCGAUUACCACGGUAGGAUUCAUGACUGGGGUGAAGUCGUAACAAGGAAGCUAA
This 1517-nucleotide ribosomal RNA is filed under the name uncultured Bordetella sp. Its description in RNAcentral is "partial 16S-23S ribosomal RNA intergenic spacer". It matches the Rfam family "Bacterial small subunit ribosomal RNA". The record is from RNAcentral. Lineage: Bacteria; Pseudomonadati; Pseudomonadota; Betaproteobacteria; Burkholderiales; Alcaligenaceae.